CCCUUAGAUGUUCUGGGCCGCACGCGCGCUACACUGAUGCAUUCAACGAGCCUAGCCUUGACCGAGAGGUCCGGGUAAUCUUUGAAACUGCAUCGUGAUGGGGCUAGAUUAUUGCAAUUAUUAAUCUUCAACGAGGAAUGCCUAGUAAGCGUGAUUCAUCAAAUCGCGUUGAUUACGUCCCUGCCCUUUGUACACACCGCCCGUCGCUCCUACCGAUUGAGUGUGUUGGUGGGGAGUUCGGAUUGGCUCUUAGUGGUGGUUCGCCACCACCUAGAGCUGAGAAGUUCUCCAAACCGCCCCACUUAGAGGAAGGAGAAGUCGUAACA
This 326-nucleotide ribosomal RNA is filed under the name uncultured eukaryote. Its description in RNAcentral is "partial 18S ribosomal RNA". It matches the Rfam family "Eukaryotic small subunit ribosomal RNA", at positions 1470 to 1796 of the family's 1831-position model. The record is from RNAcentral.